CCCGAGACAGCUGCGGCGCCCGCUCCCCGCCGCCCCUAUGCGGGCGCCCUCCGCCCACAUCCCGCGGCCGGAGCCGGGCGGCCCCUGGGCUCUGGGGGCCGAGUCCCUGCCGGGUCGCCGUGAGGCACGCUGUCCUUUCUUUAAUUCACCGCAGUUCUCGAGCCAAACAAUACACACAGUUGCGCUGGCGAGGCGCUGGGAGCGGGGGAUCCCGAGGUGAUCGUGAACCAGCCGUCAGCUGCGCCCUCCGCCCCAACCCAGUCGCCGCCCGGGAGCCAGGUUAUCUUGGGACUCUGCAAGCCCCCACCCAGUCACACCGGCGCACAAUUCAGGAGUCGCUGGUGUUGGUACUGAAAGGUUAAAGGAUCUCUUCCAGGAGGAGGAUGACAGUACAGCAGCUUACCCUACAAAGACAACACGAAUGAUAACAGUGCAUCCUAAGUAACACCUGUGUCCUCAGAGGAGAUAUCUCCAACCAGUCACACUCUGAUGGAGCUCUGCUUUUUGAUUAAGCCAGCUGAGUUGGGUUUCGGUCUACUGUAACUGAAGAGUCCUUACUCUAAUACACCAAUGAUGAAAGUGUUCUAGAGACCUAGCUCUUCCCAUGGCCCCCAGGCUAGAAUGAAAUCACUGUCUUCUCUGUUCUUUUUACCUUGUUUGCAUUUCAACUAAAGUAUUCUUCAAUACAUUUAUAUGAUUAUACUUAUGGUGAAUAUUUUCCAAACAAAACCCAGGACACAACUGGACAGUUAUGACUGUAAUAAUGGGGACACUGGGCUAGAAUACUGAAAUUAAGAUAGUUCCCAGAUUCCUGUAUGUGGGCUGCAGUUGCUCACUGGAUACAAAUUUGCCUCUUUCCACCAUAAAUGCUCUAAAAGCUCUAUUUUAAACUCAUCUUUGCAUCCUCCACAGUUAAAUAAAUGGUAAAUUAAUAAGUGACUUAUCUAUACCAAUAGUAUUAACCACUUUCUUCCCAAACGGAAGGCAAGACCAUAUGGCUGCCCACUUUUAUUUCUAUGCUCCAAGAGCUCCACUAAUAUGGUUUGAGAAAAGGAGCAGCAAAAUCCUCACAAUUAGUAAUUACACCAGGGCCCUGUAAAUGCUUAUUUGUAGAAAGAGUUAAACGUAAUAUGUAACAAUUAUUGGGGGCUCAUUAUGCAUCCAGCACUGAGCUUAGUGUUUCAUUUAUUUCCCAUAAUGAUCUCAUGGACAGGCACUGUUAACUCCCAUCUUACUAAUAACGAGAACUCAAAAUAGCACCUUCUUAAUUGUAAUAGGAGAAUAACCUCACAGAUUUGUUAUGUAUUUUUACUUAGGUAACACUUGUAAAACAGAACUAUUCCUAGCAGAGUUACCUUUGAAGAAAUGUUGGCUAUUAUUACUGUGUACAGAGAUAGGGAUGUAAACAGCUAUAUUACAAGGAAGACUGCAACAAUAAUUGCAACUGAAACAAGCAAAAGGCUGUAGGAAAUCAAAAAACCAGAUGCAUAAAUUGAAAAUUUUCACUCAAAA
Lemur catta (Ring-tailed lemur) is the source of this 1512-nucleotide long non-coding RNA. RefSeq lists it as uncharacterized. The record is from RefSeq and is a predicted model, not a curated record. The transcript has 3 exons. NCBI's taxonomy places the organism in Eukaryota, Metazoa, Chordata, Mammalia, Primates, Lemuridae.